Molecule: ribosomal RNA, 530 nt
Filed under: uncultured bacterium
Lineage: Bacteria
Description: bacterial SSU rRNA
Rfam family: Bacterial small subunit ribosomal RNA
Source: RNAcentral
AGCCAAUAGAUACCCAGGUAGUCCUGGCCUUAAACGAUGAUCACUAGGUGUAGGAGGCUUCGACCCUUCUGCGCCGCCGCUAACGCAUUAAGUGAUCCGCCUGGGGAGUACGGCCGCAAGGUUAAAACUCAAAGGAAUUGACGGGGGCCCGCACAAGCAGUGGAGCAUGUGGUUUAAUUCGAUGCUACGCGAAAACCUUACCAGGGUUUGACAUCCCGGUGAAACCCCAUAGAAAUAUGGGGCCCCUUCGGGCACCGGUGACAGGUGGUGCAUGGUUGUCGUCAGCUCGUGCCGUGAGGUGUUGGAUUAAGUUCCGCAACGAGCGCAACCCUCGUUGCUAGUUGCCAUCAUUAAGUUGGGCACUCUAGCGAGACUGCCAGCGUCAAGCUGGAGGAAGGUGGGGAUGACGUCAAAUCAUCAUGCCCCUUACAUCCUGGGCUACACACGUGCUACAAUGGCCGGUACAACAGGUUGCUACCUCGCGAGAGGAUGCGAAUCCCCAAAGCCGGUCUCAGUUCGGAUUGCAGGCU